This 1347-nucleotide ribosomal RNA is filed under the name uncultured bacterium. RNAcentral's name for it is "bacterial SSU rRNA". It matches the Rfam family "Bacterial small subunit ribosomal RNA", at positions 28 to 1381 of the family's 1533-position model. The record is from RNAcentral.
GACGAACGCUGGCGGCGUGCUUAACACAUGCAAGUCGAACGAUGAAGCCUAGCUUGCUAGGUGGAUUAGUGGCGAACGGGUGAGUAAUACGUGAGUAACCUACCUUUAACUCUGGGAUAAGCCUGGGAAACUGGGUCUAAUACCGGAUACGACCAAUCUCCGCAUGGGGUGUUGGUGGAAAGCGUUAUGUAGUGGUUAUAGAUGGGCUCACGGCCUAUCAGCUUGUUGGUGAGGUAACGGCUCACCAAGGCGACGACGGGUAGCCGGCCUGAGAGGGUGACCGGCCACACUGGGACUGAGACACGGCCCAGACUCCUACGGGAGGCAGCAGUGGGGAAUAUUGCACAAUGGGCGCAAGCCUGAUGCAGCGACGCCGCGUGAGGGAUGACGGCCUUCGGGUUGUAAACCUCUGUUAGCAGGGAAGAAGAGAGAUUGACGGUACCUGCAGAGAAAGCGCCGGCUAACUACGUGCCAGCAGCCGCGGUAAUACGUAGGGCGCGAGCGUUGUCCGAAAUAUUUGGGCGUAAGAGCUUGUANNGCGGUUUGUCGCGUCUGCUGUGAAGGCCGGAGCUUAACUCCGUGUAUUGCAGUGGGUACGGGCAGACUAGAGUGCAGUAGGGGAGACUGGAAUUCCUGGUGUAGCGGUGGAAUGCGCAGAUAUCAGGAGGAACACCGAUGGCGAAGGCAGGUCUCUGGGCUGUAACUGACGCUGAGAAGCGAAAGCAUGGGGAGCGAACAGGAUUGGAUACCCUGGUAGUCCAUGCCGUAAACGUUGGGCACUAGGUGUGGGGAACAUUCCACGUUUUCCGCGCCGUAGCUAACGCAUUAAGUGCCCCGCCUGGGGAGUACGGCCGCAAGGCUAAAACUCAAAGAAAUUGACGGGGGCCCGCACAAGCGGCGGAGCAUGCGGAUUAAUUCGAUGCAACGCGAAGAACCUUACCAAGGCUUGACAUAUACUGGACCGCAUCAGAGAUGGUGUUUCCCUUCGGGGCUGGUAUACAGGUGGUGCAUGGUUGUCGUCAGCUCGUGUCGUGAGAUGUUGGGUUAAGUCCCGCAACGAGCGCAACCCUCGUUCUAUGUUGCCAGCACGUUAUGGUGGGGACUCAUAGGAGACUGCCGGGGUCAACUCGGAGGAAGGUGGGGAUGACGUCAAAUCAUCAUGCCCCUUAUGUCUUGGGCUUCACGCAUGCUACAAUGGCCGGUACAGAGGGUUGCGAUACUGUGAGGUGGAGCUAAUCCCUAAAAGCCGGUCUCAGUUCGGAUUGGGGUCUGCAACUCGACCCCAUGAAGUCGGAGUCGCUAGUAAUCGCAGAUCAGCAACGCUGCGGUGAAUACGUUCCCGGGCCU